CGGGUGAGUAACACGUGGGUGACCUGCCUUCGAGUGGGGGAUAACGUCCCGAAAGGGACGCUAAUACCGCAUAACAUCCUGCCUUUGAACAGGUGGAGAUCAAAGCUGGGGAUCGAUGAGACCCGGCGCUUGAAGAGGGGCCCGCGUCCCAAUUAACUAAUUGGGGGAGGGUAUGGCUUCCCCAGGGGAACGAUCGGGUAGCCGGCCUGAGAGGGCGGACGGCCACACUGGGACUGAGACACGGCCCAGACUCCUACGGGAGGCAGCAGUGGGGAAUUGUUCGCAAUGGGCGCAAGCCUGACGACGCAACGCCGCGUGGAGGAUGAAGGUCUUCGGAUUGUAAACUCCUGUUGCCCGGGAAGAACGACCCCGACCUAAUACGUCGGGGUGUGACGGUACCGGGUGAGGAAGCCCCGGCUAACUCUGUGCCAGCAGCCGCGGUAAUACAGAGGGGCAAGCGUUGUUCGGAAUUACUGGGCGUAAAAGGGCGCGUAGGCGGCCUUCUAAGUCGGACGUGAAAUCCCCGGGCUCAACCCGGGAAAUUGCGUCCGAUACUGGUUGGGCUUGAAUCCGGGAGAGGGAUGCGGAAUUCCAGUGUAGCGGGUGAAAUGCGUAGAAUAUUCUGAGAAC
This 630-nucleotide ribosomal RNA is filed under the name uncultured bacterium. Its description in RNAcentral is "bacterial SSU rRNA". It matches the Rfam family "Bacterial small subunit ribosomal RNA", at positions 103 to 706 of the family's 1533-position model. The record is from RNAcentral.